This 269-nucleotide ribosomal RNA is filed under the name Klebsiella pneumoniae. RNAcentral's name for it is "partial 23S ribosomal RNA". It matches the Rfam family "Bacterial large subunit ribosomal RNA", at positions 2674 to 2925 of the family's 2925-position model. The record is from RNAcentral. Lineage: Bacteria; Pseudomonadati; Pseudomonadota; Gammaproteobacteria; Enterobacterales; Enterobacteriaceae.
GCUCCUAGUACGAGAGGACCGGAGUGGACGCAUCACUGGUGUUCGGGUUGUCAUGCCAAUGGCACUGCCCGGUAGCUAAAUGCGGAAGAGAUAAGUGCUGAAAGCAUCUAAGCACGAAACUUGCCCCGAGAUGAGUUCUCCCUGAGACUAUAAGUCUCCUGAAGGAACGUUGAAGACGACGACGUUGAUAGGCCGGGUGUGUAAGCGCAGCGAUGCGUUGAGCUAACCGGUACUAAUGAACCGUGAGGCUUAACCUUACAACGCCGAAG